UACGUAGGGUGCGAGCGUUAAUCGGAAUUACUGGGCGUAAAGCGUGCGCAGGCGGUUCGCCAAGUCAGAUGUGAAAGCCCCGGGCUUAACCUGGGAAUGGCAUUCGAGACUGAAUAGCUAGGGUACGGUAGAGGGAAGUGGAAUUUCCGGUGUAGCGGUGAAAUGCGUAGAUAUCGGAAGGAACAGCAGUGGCGAAAGCGACUUCCUGGACCAGUACCGACGUUCAGGCACGAAAGCGUGGGGAGCAAACAGG
Molecule: ribosomal RNA, 253 nt
Filed under: uncultured bacterium
Lineage: Bacteria
Description: partial 16S ribosomal RNA
Rfam family: Bacterial small subunit ribosomal RNA
Source: RNAcentral